Molecule: ribosomal RNA, 245 nt
Filed under: uncultured bacterium
Lineage: Bacteria
Description: partial 16S ribosomal RNA
Rfam family: Bacterial small subunit ribosomal RNA
Source: RNAcentral
GACGUAGGAGGCAAGCGUUAUCCAGAGUCACUGGGCGUAAAGCGCACGCAGGCAGUUUGCUAAGUUCAGAGUGACAGUCAUCGGCUUAACCGAUGGAGCGCUUUGAAAACUGGCUAACUUGAGGGCUUUAGAGGGACACGGAAGUCCGGGUGGAGCAGUGAAAUGCAUAGAUACCCGGAGGAACACCAAAGGCGAAGGCAGUGUCCUGGGAAGCACCUGACGCUCAGGUGCGAAAGCCAGGGGAG